Pan troglodytes (chimpanzee) is the source of this 4324-nucleotide RNA transcript. It is a transcript of the gene named ankyrin repeat domain 18B, with no coding region annotated. The record is from RefSeq and is a predicted model, not a curated record. The transcript is spliced from 22 exons. NCBI's taxonomy places the organism in Eukaryota, Metazoa, Chordata, Mammalia, Primates, Hominidae.
GCGAGUGUCGCUGCUGAAGGCUGUGGUGGACCGGGCUGGAUCGCGGAUUCUGAGCUACAUCGCGGGUUUGGGGGUGGAUCGCGGGUUUGGGGGUGCAUCUUGGAUUUAGGGGUGGAUCGCUGGGUGGGGAGGGGGAUCUCGAAUUUGGAGCUGGGUGGGGGUGGAAAGGCCACGAGGAGCCGCAGCGUCUCAGGAGCGGGUGGUGGGCAUCUGAGAAGUCGCCACCAUGAGGAAGCUCCUCAGUUUUGGGAGACGCCUGGGCCAGGCGCUCCUGAGCUCCAUGGACCAAGAGUAUGCGGGUCGGGGGUACCACAUUCGGGACUGGGAACUGCGGAAGAUCCACAGGGCGGCCAUCAAGGGCGACGCCGCAGAGGUGGAGCACUGCCUGACGCGCAGGUUCCGGGACUUGGACGCCCGCGACAGAAAAGACAGGACUGUUCUACAUUUGGCCUGUGUCCAUGGCCGUGUGCAAGUGGUCACUCUCUUGCUGGACAGAAGAUGCCAGAUCAACAUCUGUGAUAGACUAAACAGGACACCUUUAAUGAAGGCUGUACACUGCCAGGAAGAGGCUUGUGCCAUUAUUCUCCUGAAACAUGGCGCCAAUCCAAACAUUAAGGAUAUCUACGGCAACACUGCUCUCCAUUAUGCCGUGUAUAAUGAGGGGACUUCACUGGCAGAAAAACUGCUUUCCCACCAUGCAAAUAUUGAAGCACUAAACAAGGAGGGAAACACUCCACUUUUGUUUGCUAUAAAUUCCAGGAGACAGCAUAUGGUGGAAUUUUUAUUGAAGAACCAGGCAAAUAUACAUGCCGUUGACAAUUUCAAAAGAACAGCCCUCAUACUUGCAGUACAGCAUAACUUGUCAAGUAUCGUCACCCUCCUGCUUCAACAAAAUAUACAUAUCUCUUCUCAAGACAUGUUUGGCCAAACUGCCGAGGAUUAUGCUUUUUGUUGUGAUUUGAGAAGCAUCCAACAACAAAUUUUGGAACAUAAAAAUAAGAUGCUUAAAAAUCAUCUUCGAAAUGACAAUCAAGAAGCAGCAGCCAUGAAGAAUGAAAGUUUUAAAACACAAGGAGCAAGUUCAAAAGUCUCGCUCUAUCACCAGUCUGGAGUCCAGUGGCAUGAUCUCAGAUUACUGCAGCCUUCACCUCCCAGGUUCAAGCAAUUCUCCUGCCUCAGCCUCCCGAGGAGCUGGGACAACAGGCACAUGCGACCAUGCCCAGAAACAGCAGCUAUGAAGCCUGAAAAUUUGAAAAAAAGAAAAAAAAGAAAAAAAUUGAAAAAAAGAAAAGAAGGUGCAAAAGCAGAACACAACUUAAAAGUGGCUUCAGAGGAAAAGCAAGAAAGGCUUGAAAGAAGUGAAAAUAAACAGCCACAGGAUUCUCAAAGUUAUGGAAAAAAGAAGGAUGCGAUGUAUGGAAAUUUUAUGUUGAAGAGAGACAUUGCCAUGCUCAAACAGGAAUUAUAUGCAAUAAAAAAUGACAGUCUCAGAAAGGAAAAGAAAUAUAUUCAGGAAAUUAAAAGUAUUACAGAAAUAAAUGCUAACUUUGAAAAGAGUGUAAGACUCAAUGAAGAAAUGAUAACAAAAAAAGUGGCCCAGUAUUCACAACAGCUUAAUGAUCUGAAAGCUGAGAAUGCAAGGCUGAAUUCAAAAUUGGAGAAGGAAAAACACAACAAAGAAAGACUAGAAGCUGAAGUUGAAUCCCUCCAUUCUAACCUGGCCACUGCUAUAAAUGAGUACAAUGAAAUUUUGGAAAGAAAAGACCUAGAACUAGUUUUAUGGAGAGCAGAUGAUGUUUCUAGACAUGAAACAAUGGGUUCUAAUAUUUCUCAACUAACAGAUAAGAAUGAGUUGCUUACUGAACAGGUCCGUAAAGCUCGGGUGAAGUUCAAUACCUUAAAAGGUAAGCUCCGUGAGACAAGAGAUGCUCUCAGGGAAAAGACAUUGGCUUUAGAAAGUGUACAGCUGGACCUAAGGCAAGCACAGCAUCGAAUAAAGGAAAUGAAGCAGAUGCAUCCAAAUGGGGAAGCUAAAGAAAGUCAAUCCAUUGGAAAGCAGAACUCUUCAGAGGAGAGAAUACGUCAACGAGAACUUGAAAAUCUCUUGCUUGAACGACAACUAGAGGAUGCUCGUAAGGAAGGCGAUAAUAAAGAGAUAGUCAUUAAUAUCCACAGAGACUGUCUUGAGAAUGGAAAGGAAGAUCUUCUAGAAGAAAGAAAUAAGGAAUUAAUGAAUGAAUAUAAUUAUUUAAAAGAAAAACUGCUUCAGUAUGAAAAAGAAAAAGCAGAAAGAGAAGUGAUUGUGAGAGAAUUUCAAGAAGAACUGGUCGAUCACCUUCAAAAAUUUUCAAUGUCAGAGUCUCCACUGGAAGGUACAUCACAUUGUCAUAUUAAUUUGGAUGAGACAUGGACUUCAAAGAAGAAAUUAUUUCAAGUAGAAAUUCAACCUGAAGAAAAACAUGAAGAAUUCAGAAAACUUUCUGAAUUAAUAUCAUUACUGAACUAUACUGCGGAUCAAAUAAGAAAGAAAAAUCGUGAAUUAGAAGAAGAGGCAACUGGAUAUAAGAAAUGCCUAGAAAUGACAAUAAAUAUGUUAAAUGCAUUUGCAAAUGAAGACUUCAGUUGCCAUGGAGACUUAAAUACAGACCAACUGAAAAUGGAUAUUCUGUUUAAGAAGCUAAAACAGAAGUUUGAUGAUCUUAUGGCUGAGAAGGAAGCUGUAUCUUCAAAAUGUGUCAAUUUGGACAAAGACAAUGAAGUUCUUCAUCAGGAGUUAUUAUCUAUGAGAAAAGUACAAGAGAAAUGUGAAAAACUUGAGAAGGAUAAAAAGAUGUUGGAAGAAGAAGUAUUAAAUCUUAAGACACAUAUGGAAAAAGAUAUGGUAGAACUUGGUAAAGUACAAGAAUAUAAAUCGGAGCUGGAUGAAAGGGCAACGCAGGCAAUAGAAAAAUUAGAAGAAAUCCAUUUACAGAAACAAGCAGAAUAUGAAAAACAAUUAGAGCAGUUAAACAAGGACAAUAUGGCUUCACUAAAAAAGAAGGAACUCACACUUAAAGAUGUGGAAUGUAAAUUCUCCAAAAUGAAAACAGCUUAUGAAGAUGUUACAACUGAAUUAGAAGAAUAUAAGGAAGCCUUUGCAGUAGCAUUGAAAGCUAACAGUUCCAUGUCAGAAAAAAUAAUGAAAUCGGAUAAGAAAAUAGCAGUGAUCAGCACCAAGCUCUUUAUGGAGAAAGAGCGGAUGGAAUAUUUUCUCAGCACUCUUCCUAUGAGGCCAGACCCAGAGUUACCUUGUGUUGAAAAUCUUAAUAGUAUAGAACUCAACAGAAAAUAUAUUCCCAAAACGGCCAUAAGAAUUCCUACUCCAAACCCACAGACUUCAAAUAACUGCAAGAACUCCUUGACUGAGAUGGAGCUGGACUGUGCAGAACAAAUAAUUACAGAAACAAAGAAAACUUUUGCUGUGUUGGGCCCUUGCUCCUAUCUACUUUCUUCUCUAGAAUCCACUGAGUUGGAGCCACCGAGGAAGCACAGGCGAGCUCUUCCCAUCGUGCACUCACUAGUCCCCAACAGAAGAACUGCUGCUGCAUCUACUGAGGCUCCUGUUGUGGUGGGUUGUGUCAUCCCACGAUGUCACUCUUGCUGAGUCCCCAUCGCCUCUGUGUUUUGGAGCAGUUAGAGACACACAGCAGUCUCUGUGAGUGGCUCUGCGUGAAGGAUUGUUUUCUAGGUGAGAUGCACAUCUCAACACAGCUGACUGCUCAGACUCAGCAAUUCCAUUCUGCAUCUCCUCUGGACACCCCCAGGACCACCAGGACAACCCCAUCAUGGCCCUGUCACCAGGCCCAGUCUGGCUCCAUGAUAACCAAGAUGCAGGUCCAGAGACAACCGCCCUACUUGGUGCCUGCAUCUGACCCCCCUUGGUGGGUAGUGACCAGCCCAACAUGGAAGAAGCCAGGGCAGCAUGCAGCCAGCUGCCUUGCAGCCCCAGAUGGCACCUGGGCCUUGGGAAGUCAUUGUCAAAGUGGAAGCUGGAAACUUUGAUGUCCCUGGAGGGAAGGGUGAACGUGGCAUCUGAACAACCCUGGCAGCCAGCAGCAUCUUCUCAUCCAACCUGUGGGACAGAGGCCCCCUGCUUGGGAACGAGAUCCAUACCUAAAGGGUCCUGGCCCAGUCAGGCCUCAUCCUGGGCCCUGGGAGGGGAGGGGCACUAUGGGCCCCCCAGCAGCAGUCAGCAUUACCACCCAGGGGACUCAGCCUUCUGUGGCCCUGGCCAGAGUUAGAAUUUGGCCCAAGACAGGACAAGCUCACUCAGAGCAGGGUGUCA